RNAcentral lists this ribosomal RNA (499 nucleotides) under Pasteuriaceae bacterium CL5.62. RNAcentral describes it as "bacterial SSU rRNA". It matches the Rfam family "Bacterial small subunit ribosomal RNA", at positions 17 to 497 of the family's 1533-position model. Lineage: Bacteria; Bacillati; Bacillota; Bacilli; Caryophanales; Pasteuriaceae. The record is from RNAcentral.
CCCUGGCUCAGGACGAACGCUGGCGGCGUGCCUAAUACAUGCAAGUCGAGCGAAUGAUAGAGAAGCUUGCUUCUCUUGAUUUAGCGGCGGACGGGUGAGUAACACGUGGGUAACCUACCUUAUAGUUUGGGAUAACUCCGGGAAACCGGGGCUAAUACCGAAUAAUCUAUUUCACUUCAUAGUGGAAUACUGAAAGACGGUUUCGGCUGUCGCUAUAAGAUGGGCCCGCGGCGCAUUAGCUAGUUGGUGAGGUAAUGGCUCACCAAGGCAACGAUGCGUAGCCGACCUGAGAGGGUGAUCGGCCACACUGGGACUGAGACACGGCCCAGACUCCUACGGGAGGCAGCAGUAGGGAAUCUUCCACAAUGGGCGAAAGCCUGAUGGAGCAACGCCGCGUGAGUGAAGAAGGAUUUCGGUUCGUAAAACUCUGUUGUAAGGGAAGAACAAGUACAGUAGUAACUGGCUGUACCUUGACGGUACCUUAUUAGAAAGCCACGGC